UUUACCAAAUGGUGGCAGCUUGGUUGCAAAUAUCUUGCAUGUAUGUGUGUUUUAGGGGGGAAGAUCCUCGAUUUCUCAGGGCUCCUAGAGCUGGGGAGAAGAAGAUGCGGUCUUGCUGGCUUGCUGCUGCCCCCGGUCUGAAAGAAGGAGAAAAGGGCCAUCAUUGGAGGGCUUUCAGUGCCAAAAUGUGGACCAGCCCGGCAAGGUCAGAGGUCCUGGACCGCGGGAGACCAAGGUCUCCAGAUGGCUGUGACGUAAAGGAGAAACAUCCUGCAUGAAUUUCUUAUGAAUAAACAGUCUCUAUUUAUGUUAAAGUGGAAAGGUUAGGAUCUUUACUUUUUAGGAUCAGAAUUUUGUUCUAAUGCCAGUCUCCCCACCUUGUUGCCAAGAGGCAUACAGCAACCCUAUUUAUAUUGUCAUAGAGUGUAUAACAGAUUAGGUCAUUGCAGGAAUCCCCUUUUCGUACUUGGCUGGUAUCUAAUUCACAUAGAUGUAAACCACAGUCCACCACUACAGUCCAGGCCAGCAUUUCCUGUAUAAAAAUUAUUUAAGUACGGCUAUGUGCAUAGCCCAUGUAAAUCCACUUGACUGGCUUGCUUUCUAAUAAAAGCACUCUGUUAUUUUAGUGUGUCCAGAAUUUCUUUUUGUAGGCCAUUUAGGAUACAUUUCUAGUAUGCCUGAUAUAUAAUGUGCAUAGGAAUACCUAAUAGAAAUCCAUUUAAAGUAUUGCAGAAAUGUUUCAGUUAUUAUUAAUGCAAACACUCUAUGGGCUUUUAAAGAGCAAAGACUUGUGUUUUAUUUUUAUGUCAAAUAUUCUGUUGUUUGAAUUUUAUUAAAAAUUAAAAUUACCGUU
Molecule: long non-coding RNA, 853 nt
Organism: Alligator mississippiensis (American alligator)
Lineage: Eukaryota; Metazoa; Chordata; Crocodylia; Alligatoridae
Exons: 2
Source: RefSeq, a predicted model, not a curated record